Anas platyrhynchos (mallard) is the source of this 6200-nucleotide non-coding RNA. NCBI's taxonomy places the organism in Eukaryota, Metazoa, Chordata, Aves, Anseriformes, Anatidae. The record is from RefSeq and is a predicted model, not a curated record.
AGGAAAGAGCCUACAAUCACUAUGGAUUGAGAAAUGCUCUCUGUCUGCAGAGGGACUCCUUGUCUCAGAUAACAUGCGUGUAUAUGCUUAGUCUGCUUCCCUCAUCUUCAAACACUGCCCCAAAUCAGAGAAUUCAAUUUUUUCAUGAUUCACCAGUCAGAAGACUUGAGCAAGCUUUGGAAAGCACACUGGAUCCCAGGAACCCACUGGGCUGAAGAUCACUGCAUUUCUGUGCCCCCUCACAUGUACCACCACCCUGAAAGACUGCACAGAUGCAGACCAUCAUCACCACACUCUGUUUACUCUCACAGUCUUUAGGAAUCAUGUCUUUAGAGUACUGUUAGAAAUAGAGCAGUUUUCCCUUCACUUGCAGCCCCCACUCCCAGCUCUGUGUACUCAGCUUACCUGCAGACACACAGCAAACAUUACAUCUUUGAGUCUCCUCCUCCUUGUUUUUCCCUCUGCAUAACCUUUUUGCCUCUUCAGCAGUAGCACAGUGUUUCUGGCUACAGUAAAUAUCACUGUUUCUAAAGCAUUUUUACUAUUUGUCUAGCUUUUGGCCAAGGAGACCACAAUCCUUUCUCCCAGUCUAACACCAAAACUUAACUCAAAGCAGUGGCAAUGAUUUUACUUCUGAGUUGGACCUACAACAACCAGAAAAACAGCAAAAAUAUGUGUUGCAUCAGGCAUUGCAUUCAGAGCCCAGAAGAAUUAAUAUAGUUGUCAUAACUGGGAGAAAAAAAUCCCACAAGGCUGAAUGUGGACACACACAGCUGAACGCAGCACACACACAAACACAGAUUUUUAUGAGCAGUGCCGUCAGCAAGGAGAUUGUUUAUAGUAGCCGGUAAUUUAUAGCUUUUAAAUGUAAUGUUGGAAUGCAAAUAGCUUUCCCCGUUCCCUUCCCUCAGUGAUCUGCUCAUGAAUAAGGCUGAAAGGAGCCCGAGCAGGAGACACAACCAGGGAGGAAGAGGAGACAGAGAAUGAAUCAGCCUGCCCCCGCUUUCUCCCAGCCCCUGGAAAUGUCACCGGCUGCCCAUGGGAUCAGUUCCCAGCCCAGCAUGAGGACGCGGUGCACAGCUAUGUGUGACAUGACACUUAACAUCUCCCAUCCCAGGCAACCAAGUAGGAAUACUGCUCAGCCUACCGUGAGCAAAAAUGUAUGAAAUGGCAUUAGGCAAAAACAAGAUUUCUGGGGAUUACAACAGGAAUACAAGGUUUUUGCUUUCCCUGUAGGGUAAAUGACCAUCCCAACGCUCCCCUCUUUUUUUCUCCUACCUUUUCACAUCAGUAGGGAAGGACAAGAUAUUUUCAAUUGUCUUUCUGUGCCUUCAGUGCCAUUCAACAUCAGAGCUGCUGAAGUCACUUUUGUCACUGUUUGUAGCAAUGAACUGCUACAGUUCAUUGGUAAUAUUGGGAAAAGUGCUUCCUCUUUACAUAAUUCAUCUGAUUAAAAAAAAUUUUCAAGUGGGUUUUGAUGGACAGCAAUCAGUCUUUGACCAGCCUCAAGAAAAGAGCAAAAUUAAAACAAUUAUUUUGGAUGUUAAUCUCCGCUAGGGUUUGAUUUUGAAAGCUUAGAGGAAGAUCUAUGAAAUAAUAUGAAGUUCAGCAAGUUACUGUAGUGUUUGUACUCACAGUGCAAACAAACAAAAAAGUUUACAUUCAGAGCUUUUUACCUCCCUUCUAUUGUGUUUUCACUUUUUUUUUUUUCUUCUCCUCCCAAUGGCAAAGUUUGCAUUUAUUAAUAUCUACGGUAAGUUACAGUUUGGGCUUCAAAAAUGUUUUGGGGUUCUGCAGGUGAAAAGGCGGGAAGGAGCUAGCUUGUUUGAUAUUUAUGAAUAAACAUUGAGAAAGUGUCUGCCUCACCUCUCACACUGUUGAAUAACAAAAGGAAAUGAAAGAGUUUAUGGUCCCAGGCAGAUGUGAACAAAGCUAUAAGAUUGAUCCCAGGCAAAGACAGCUCACUUGGCAAACACUUGAGUCCUCAGCAUCUCAGAGAAACUUUGAGCAUCUUAGAGAAGAAUUAUGGGGCACUAAUAGUAGGGAACAAAAACAAAUAAACAAACAAAGAUAGCAGGUGUUUCCAAAUGCUUAAAAAUGAACUAUAUUAUGAUCUUCAUUUAAAAGCCACAAAAACAGUGAGAGGUGUUUUGGUGUGCAAACUGAUCACAUUUUUCAGCUUCCUCUCACCACCUCUGCAGACAAGAAAAUCCCACUGUAUUUUGAAGGGGACGCUGAGGUUUUAAGGUGCUCACAUCAUUGUGGAGUGGGAGUUUUGAAGAAAAGCAUUAAUAUCACAGCAACUGGAAGCGCUGGGAAAGAGAUCUGCAAGGCAAGCAGCUGCUGGGUGGUGAAGGGCAUGGAGAAGGCUGACAGAGUCUGAAGUGAGACACUUCAGGAUCGUCAUAGCCUGACAAUAGGUGAGGGAAUGUUUUUAAAGUCAAGGCAAUCAAAGCAAAGCAUGUCUCUUGUGAGAAGAUUUCCCUGAUGUUGCUUUGCCCACCACUACCAAGGCUGUCAUCUCUGCAGUCAUGGAUUACAUCGGUUGCUUUGUGCCUGGGAGAACAAUCAAAAAAUCUUUCCUUGGAGAGGAAAUCCAGUCCUGUUGGACUGGAUGGGAUUUUUGUUGCUGGCACUGGUGGGAGCAGGAUUACAGCCUUAGACCCAGCCUUCAUCCUACCCAAGUCUCAGGAAGAAGUGUCUGUCAUCUUCAGCAGGUCAGACUGCUUUGUGAGGGGGCUUCGGUAAAAUGUAGUCCUGUUCCUAGACAGUGUAAAACCGGGCUCUCCGCCUAACACAAGUACAGUAACAAUAACACUAAUGGAUGAAGGCACAAGAACAUUUUCCCCAGUAAAACAUGGGUUUCCUCUGUGCCUUCAUAGGCUCAGGCAGCUUUCAUUACACUGUCAGCACAGCCCAUCCUUUCAAAGCAGCUCAAGAUGAAGAAGCACCAUGAGAUUUUGCGUGCAAAUGAGCCUAUCCACAACAUUUUACAAACCACAGUGGAGAGGAACAACAGAAUUCCUGUUUCAUGUAACACAUACCAUGAAACAACAGCCAGAGCAGGUUGUUUCCCUGUUGUAAUGCCAUCACUUAGUAUUGGCCCCUUCAGUACACGUCCAUCCUCUGCCAAAUUCAAGGCACACGUGCCCAUCUGAGUGCCAUGGAGGUGCCCUGGGCUGCAAUUUUCUGGCGGCACAUCCCCAUAAGCAUCAUGGAUCUGUCCUUUCCCAAGGCUUCCUGGGCUGCUUUUGCCUCCCUCCACCCUCAUACAGCCAUGAAAAGCCAAAAGCAGGUCUUCACCCUUUCAGGACACAUCACAAUUUUUCAUUCAGUAAUCCUCCUUUUGUGUCUGGGGAGCGGUCACCUGAGGCUGCUGUCCCCAUGGGAGAAAGGAGGGAGCUGCUCAGCAACCAGCACAGGUUUGCCCCAGGGGACAUCCCAGGCAGCUGUUUGCAUGUUUAGGUUUACAGAGCUGCUCCUCAAAGCUUGUACGAGGGAGUGUAACACAAGGAAUCACUUGCCCUUCAUUCAGUUAUUAAAACCUCUAAUGUCCCUUAAAAUAUAGUAAAGGUUUUCUGCUCAGAUUAGUGUAAGUAUCACACAAACACAAGCAAAACAUAACUACCUGGGAUCUGUAACAGCUUCAUUGUCUGCUACUGGAUGCCAGGUUUUGAGCUGAAGGCUGCUUCACUGUGCAGUGGGUAUCUGCAGCAUACAGUGACCCAGCUCUUUGCCUUCCACAUCGGAGAGUGCCCCUGAUGGAGCUGAAGAGAACUUUUUACAUAUUUACGGUACUCACCAAUUCAUUAAUUCAUUAAAGUUGCAUUUUAUUGAACAGUAAGUACAUUCUAUCUAGCAAAUAAAAAAAUUAGUGCAAUGAUUAUCUUGAAAAAUGCUGUGAUACACUUCAUUUGGAUAAUUUAGAGCUGUCACCAUUUGCUAAAAAGAGCCAAAUGACCACAUUUAUAGUAGAAACAAUCCUGAAUUACAGUUAAUAUAGUUUCUGCAACAGCAGUUCUCUGAAAAGUGACUGCACAUUUAUGGAAGUUUAUUAAAGGGUUUAUCUCCUUUUUAAAAAUGUUCAAAUUGAAAGUGUCCUUAUUUGUUUGGACCUGUAUUUCUUGGCAAUAUUUCACAUUCUUCAACUACUUUGCUUUCAGGGUCUUUAUGAAAUUAUUAGCAUCCAAAGCAAGGCACAAAUACUGCACCACCUCCACAGACAUCAUAUGUCAGAAGACAGUUUCCUGUAGAAAUAGACAGCAUGCAGACUGGGGCUGGACUGAGCAGACGGAAUGAAGCUAAAUAAACCAAAUGAAAUGUGUCAUUUGCCACAGUGAAAAUUUUAAGUAUGCAUUUGUUCAUUUUUAAUUACAGAGACAGUAGAAACCAUGCCAUUCAGCAGAGACAAAUUAGGCUUCAGAUGGAAAGCAUAAUUCAGGCCAAGUGAGUAGCUGAAGAAAAAAAAUGGUAUAACUAAAUAUUGCUAGUUGCUUUCUUAAGACUCAAGUUUAUGGGAGCUGGGUUGAGAUCCUACCCAGGAAGGAACAAAACUUAGCAUUUUUCCUGAAUGUUUGUGUGUGAGAGGUUUUCAGAUCCCCAUACAAUCUGUUGCAGUCCCCAUUUUGAUGCCUUCCUGCACAGCACCGCAAGCUGUUUUACGCUCAAAAGACUGCAAAACACCAUGGUCCUGGUUUGCGGCAAACAAGCACAUUUGUAGAAAUAUUCAGGGUAGGAUCCUCCGCUUUCUUUCUUCAUUUCUUUACUUGUCAGUGUAUUCUGCUCACAAUUAACACUGAUGCUGCUGUCGGCAGAAUAUGCUGACAAUCAUUACAGCUUCAGCACUGAAAACAAUUUCAAAUUUCCUGAGGAAAAAAAAAAAAAUACAUAAAUCACUCCUAAACAGAAAGCAAUAUUCAUUGGAAAAGUCAAUAUAUGUCAGGAUAUAACCGUGCAACAAAUACUAUUAAAAAUAUUUUCUUUUCCAGUGAGCAAAAUGAUUUUGUUAUUGUAUAUUUGUUAGCAAUCUUGAACAGAAAUGCAGUAUAUUGUAUGGUCGCAAUGAUAAAGGUUGACGUCAGUUUUAAAAUCCCCCUUGGCACUAAUAGAGGAAUGGAAGUAGCUUAGUUUCUGCUCAGCAUUUUACAGCUUGUUCAUCAGUACGGCAAAUCCUCCUGAACAACCACCACCACAAACUCUGGGAUUGCUCAGCGAACUGCAGAGCGCAGUUGCAGCCUGCUCGGCGUCAGUUUGGCAUUGAGUCCUUUGCAAGAUAAACUGAACAUGCAUUUCUCUGCUGGCUUAGGAUAUUGUUUGGGUGGAAAUGCGUCACUGUCUAGGGGCUCUUGAGGCAAAGCGGGAUGUGGCAACUGGGGGACAGACAUCUCGUUUGGCACUCGGCGCGCUAUGAAUACGGGGAAAUAUUUGCGUGGGGAAGGGAACGGCGAAAUGUUUGAUGGCUGUGCUGGGCAAAACCGCCCCGUCCCUCUGCUGUGCCCCCCCGUCUGCGAGGGACCCGCGGCCGCUCCGCUCCCGAGCCUCCCAGAUCCGUCCCCAGCCCCUUCUCCUCCCUGGGCCCCGGCCCGGCCCUGCCGGCGGUGUCGCAGCGCCGCCACGCGGCCCCCGGCCCCGAUAUGACGCCAAAUGGCGCCCCGCUGGGCCGUGACGUCAUCCGGCCUCUCCAUGACGUCACGGCCCCCGCUCCUUUGGCAGGGGAUGCCUUGAACCCUGCCCUGCGCCUGGCACACGCUGCGUUUUGGCAGGACGAGUUUGAGGCGCACCCAACGCACUCCCCCAGCACCAUGAGGCAUCUCCCAUCGCUCCCCGGCACCUUCCCGCAUGGCCAAACCACCCCAGAGAGCCCGGCCUGGGCCAUGGCACAAAGACACCGCCCGCAGAGCCACCACCGCCCCGUCAUGGGGAGCCAUCAGCCGAGAAAUCCUCCGGGGCCAGCUCGGUCGCGGUUGGCCGGUCAUCGGCGUGUUGCUGUUCGGCUGCCUCCGUGCUGCCCAGGACAUGAAGCAAAUGAAGCCUGGCUGUCGCCCAGAUGAUCCGCGAUGUUGCGACCAGAUGGAACGUGGCUUACAACAUGUGUAGAUGCCUGCUGGACAAUAAACAGGCUUUUGCUGGCUUUUGCUCUGGUGAACUCGAGGGGGUUACUGGCGGGUUAAAACAAUCAUGGCCCUCAAAAGAUUUCUUUU